UUUUUUUUUUUUUUUUGGAGAGGAAGUCUCGCUCUGUCGCCCAGGCUGGAGUGCAGUGGCUUGAUCUCGGCUCACUGCAAGCUCCGCCUCCUGGGUUCACGCCAUUCUCCUGCCUCAGCCUCCGAAGUACCUGGGACUACAGGCGCCCGCCACCACGCCCAGCUAAUUUUUAAAAUAUUUUUAGUAGAGACGAGGUUUCACCAUGUUAGCAGGGAUGGUCUCCAUCUCCUGGCCUCGUGAUCCGCCCGUCUCGACCUCCCAAAGUGCUGGGAUUACAGGCAUGAGCCACUGCGCCCGGCCUUUGAUGGGUUUUUUUUUUUAAUUAUUCUUAUUUUUACAGUGAUGAGGUUCCGCCAUAUUGCUCAUGCUGGACUAGAACUGCUGAGCUCAAACAAUCCACUCACCUUGACUUCCCAAAGUUCUGGAACUGAAGUGCCUGGCUGGCCCCGGCCUUAUUAACAAAAUGAAAUAACUCACAUAAGUUCUGCGGUGACAUGUAAAAACACAAUUCCUGUUAGAGCUUUUCCAACUUUGAUUUUUUUUUUUCCGUGAUGAAUAUUGCGUGUUCUUAUAUGUCCAUAUUCCCUUUAAAGGCACACGUGGGCAAGAAGUUCAAGACACUCCAAGAAACCCAAUCAUGUAGAGACAUGGAGAGCAGAAAAGGAAGCAGGCCCAGAAGAAGUGGUUGAGAUGCCGUUGGGCCGGAAUGUGGCAGAAGAGAGACAGAGAGAUAGACAGAGACAGACAGACAGAGAGAGAACAAUGUUGUAGAAAAAUCCAAAGGAAAGUCCGUGGGGAACAAGAAUACUGGAAAGGGCCAGGAAGCUAGCAGCUUGCUUGGUGUGUUGCUACUGUUAAAUCUGUCUUCAGAAGAGCAUUCAAUGUCACUGUGUUCCUGAAGCAGACAGCAGGCCUCUGCCCACGAAUUCAUUGCCCGAAGAGGUCAACAAAGGGUUUCUCUCACAGAAUAUGUUUGGGAAGGAAGAUCCGUACACUUGGGGCCGGGACAAUCUACCCGCUUCCCCAUCGCCCACACAACUCCUCAAGGACAUGGAUGCCUCUCUAGGUUUCUAGUCCAGUCUUCCAGGAAGAGCUGAGGAGAGUGGAAUAGGCCAGAUGUGAGGAUGACAGGUGGGUUCGGGGUAGUAAGCUCCCCUCGUGUGUGACCAAAGGUGGUGUGGGAUCUUUACACAGUCCAUGGCAGCUACCUCCAUGGCAGAAGGGCCUGGGACAUGUCCGGCUAUAACGGAAUUCUAGGUUCACCUCAAGUCUGAGGCCAAAACCCCAGGGGUCAGUGGGACGCCGGUCGCCUUUGACCUCUUGGUCAAGCUGGCUUUGCAGUGACCCGUGAGUACGCCCAAGUGCAAUUGUGUCCCGGAGGGCAGAGCUAGGGCUGGCAUCCUACUAUGUGCCCAGUCUCCUUCUCUUCCCUGCGGGUUCCACCAUCCUCCCCAUCCCAAAGGCAUGGUUAGGGAUGCGGUUAGUUGGGCUGCAUCCCCAGGGCGGCCCAAGGGGACCGCUUUCUGGUUUGUCAGGAAGGCAGGCUAGUAGAAGGACCCUGCCGAGUCCCGUCUGCCAAGGACAGGGUCCGGCAGGUGGGCCAGAGCUGGCCCAAAGCGGCCGAGAUGCUGAAGGGCCAUGUGCGGAGCGCUCUUGGCGUUUUUUCCUCCGCAGAGGGCGGAGGGAGUGGACAUGGGGGAAGGGCAGGUGGGCAUUUCUGGAGCAAUACU
Molecule: long non-coding RNA, 1730 nt
Organism: Macaca mulatta (Rhesus monkey)
Lineage: Eukaryota; Metazoa; Chordata; Mammalia; Primates; Cercopithecidae
Source: Ensembl